Molecule: ribosomal RNA, 561 nt
Filed under: Trichosporon coremiiforme
Lineage: Eukaryota; Fungi; Basidiomycota; Tremellomycetes; Trichosporonales; Trichosporonaceae
Description: partial large subunit ribosomal RNA
Rfam family: Eukaryotic large subunit ribosomal RNA
Source: RNAcentral
GCGGGAAGAGCUCAAAUUUGAAAUCUGGCAGUCUUCGAUUGUCCGAGUUGUAAUCUAUAGAGGCGUUUUCCGUGCCGGACCGUGUCCAAGUCUCCUGGAAAGGAGUAUCAAAGAGGGUGAUAAUCCCGUACUUAACACGACCACCGGUGCUCUGUGAUACGUCUUCUACGAGUCGAGUUGUUUGGGAAUGCAGCUCAAAAUGGGUGGUGAAUUCCAUCUAAAGCUAAAUAUUGGCGAGAGACCGAUAGCGAACAAGUACCGUGAGGGAAAGAUGAAAAGCACUUUGGAAAGAGAGUUAAACAGUACGUGAAAUUGUUGAAAGGGAAACGAUUGAAGUCAGUCGUGUUCUUUGGAUUCAGCCAGUUCUGCUGGUCUACUUCCUUUGAACGGGUCAACAUCAGUUUUGUCCGGUGGAUAAAGGCAGUAGGAAUGUAGCUUCUCCGGAAGUGUUAUAGCCUAUUGUCACAUACACUGGGUGAGACUGAGGACUGCAGCUCGCCUUUAUGGCCGACCUUCGGGUACGUUCGAGCUUAGGAUGUUGACAUAAUGGCUUUAAACGAC